Molecule: non-coding RNA, 202 nt
Organism: Oryza meridionalis
Lineage: Eukaryota; Viridiplantae; Streptophyta; Magnoliopsida; Poales; Poaceae
Source: Rfam
AAUAAGUGCAGCCAUAAGUUUUCGUGUUCAAUUUUGAUCGUCCGUCUUAUUUAAAAAUUUUUUAUGAUUAGCAUUUUUGUUGUUAUAAGAUUAUAAAAUAUGAAUAGUACUUUAUACGUGACUUAUAUUUUUAGGUUUUUUAAAAAAUUUAAAUAAGACGGACGAUCAAAGUUAGACAUAAAAACUCAUGGUUGCACUUAUU